AGAGUUUGAUCCUGGCUCAGAUUGAACGCUGGCGGCAGGCCUAACACAUGCAAGUCGAGCGGUAGCACAGAGAGCUUGCUCUCGGGUGACGAGCGGCGGACGGGUGAGUAAUGUCUGGGAAACUGCCUGAUGGAGGGGGAUAACUACUGGAAACGGUAGCUAAUACCGCAUAACGUCGCAAGACCAAAGUGGGGGACCUUCGGGCCUCAUGCCGUCAGAUGUGCCCAGAUGGGAUUAGCUAGUAGGUGGGGUAACGGCUCACCUAGGCGACGAUCCCUAGCUGGUCUGAGAGGAUGACCAGCCACACUGGAACUGAGACACGGUCCAGACUCCUACGGGAGGCAGCAGUGGGGAAUAUUGCACAAUGGGCGCAAGCCUGAUGCAGCCAUGCCGCGUGUGUGAAGAAGGCCUUCGGGUUGUAAAGCACUUUCAGCGGGGAGGAAGGCGAUAAGGUUAAUAACCUUGUCGAUUGACGUUACCCGCAGAAGAAGCACCGGCUAACUCCGUGCCAGCAGCCGCGGUAAUACGGAGGGUGCAAGCGUUAAUCGGAAUUACUGGGCGUAAAGCGCACGCAGGCGGUCUGUCAAGUCGGAUGUGAAAUCCCCGGGCUCAACCUGGGAACUGCAUUCGAAACUGGCAGGCUAGAGUCUUGUAGAGGGGGGUAGAAUUCCAGGUGUAGCAGUGAAAUGCGUAGAGAUCUGGAGGAAUACCGGUGGCGAAGGCGGCCCCCUGGACAAAGACUGACGCUCAGGUGCGAAAGCGUGGGGAGCAAACAGGAUUAGAUACCCUGGUAGUCCACGCCGUAAACGAUGUCGAUUUGGAGGUUGUGCCCUUGAGGCGUGGCUUCCGGAGCUAACGCGUUAAAUCGACCGCCUGGGGAGUACGGCCGCAAGGUUAAAACUCAAAUGAAUUGACGGGGGCCCGCACAAGCGGUGGAGCAUGUGGUUUAAUUCGAUGCAACGCGAAGAACCUUACCUGGUCUUGACAUCCACAGAACUUUCCAGAGAUGGAUUGGUGCCUUCGGGAACUGUGAGACAGGUGCUGCAUGGCUGUCGUCAGCUCGUGUUGUGAAAUGUUGGGUUAAGUCCCGCAACGAGCGCAACCCUUAUCCUUUGUUGCCAGCGGUCCGGCCGGGAACUCAAAGGAGACUGCCAGUGAUAAACUGGAGGAAGGUGGGGAUGACGUCAAGUCAUCAUGGCCCUUACGACCAGGGCUACACACGUGCUACAAUGGCAUAUACAAAGAGAAGCGACCUCGCGAGAGCAAGCGGACCUCAUAAAGUAUGUCGUAGUCCGGAUUGGAGUCUGCAACUCGACUCCAUGAAGUCGGAAUCGUUAGUAAUCGUAGAUCAGAAUGCUACGGUGAAUACGUUCCCGGGCCUUGUACACACCGCCCGUCACACCAUGGGAGUGGGUUGCAAAAGAAGUAGGUAGCUUAACCUUCGGGAGGGCGCUUACCACUUUGUGAUUCAUGACUGGGGUGAAGUCGUAACAAGGUAGCCGUAGG
This 1506-nucleotide ribosomal RNA is filed under the name Klebsiella sp. XJ1. Its description in RNAcentral is "bacterial SSU rRNA". It matches the Rfam family "Bacterial small subunit ribosomal RNA". The record is from RNAcentral. Lineage: Bacteria; Pseudomonadati; Pseudomonadota; Gammaproteobacteria; Enterobacterales; Enterobacteriaceae.